Molecule: ribosomal RNA, 482 nt
Filed under: uncultured bacterium
Lineage: Bacteria
Description: partial 16S ribosomal RNA
Rfam family: Bacterial small subunit ribosomal RNA
Source: RNAcentral
AUUGAACGCUGGCGGCAUGCUUUACACAUGCAAGUCGAACGGUAACAGGCCGCAAGGUGCUGACGAGUGGCGAACGGGUGAGUAAUGCAUCGGAACGUGCCCAGUCGUGGGGGAUAACUACUCGAAAGAGUAGCCAAUACCGCAUACGAUCUAUGGAUGAAAGCGGGGGACCGUAAGGCCUCGCGCGAUUGGAGCGGCCGAUGUCAGAUUAGGUAGUUGGUGGGGUAAAGGCUCACCAAGCCAACGAUCUGUAGCUGGUCUGAGAGGACGACCAGCCACACUGGGACUGAGACACGGCCCAGACUCCUACGGGAGGCAGCAGUGGGGAAUUUUGGACAAUGGGCGCAAGCCUGAUCCAGCAAUGCCGCUUGCAGGAAGAAGGCCUUCGGGUUGUAAACUGCUUUUGUACGGAACGAAACGGCUCUGGUUAAUACCCGGGGCUAAUGACGGUACCGUAAGAAUAAGCACCGGCUAACUACGUG